Molecule: ribosomal RNA, 494 nt
Filed under: uncultured bacterium
Lineage: Bacteria
Description: partial 16S ribosomal RNA
Rfam family: Bacterial small subunit ribosomal RNA
Source: RNAcentral
GACGAACGCUGGCGGCGUGCUUAACACAUGCAAGUCGAACGGUGAAGCGCCUUCCUUUUUGGUGGGUGUGGAUGAGUGGCGAACGGGUGAGUAACACGUGAGUAACCUGCCCCCUUCUUCUGGAUAACCGCAUGAAAGUGUGGCUAAUACGGGAUAUUCUGGGUCUGUCGCAUGAUGGGUCUGGGAAAGAUAUUGUUUCGGUGGGGGAUGGGCUCGCGGCCUAUCAGCUUGUUGGUGGGGUGAUGGCCUACCAAGGCGGUGACGGGUAGCCGGCCUGAGAGGGUGGACGGUCACACUGGGACGGAGACACGGCCCAGACUCCUACGGGAGGCAGCAGUGGGGAAUAGUGCACAAUGGGCGCAAGCCUGAUGCAGCGACGCCGCGUGAGGGAUGGAGGCCUUCGGGUUGUGAACCUCUUUCGCCAGUGAAGCAGGCCUGCCUCGUUUGUGGGUGGGUUGACGGUAGCUGGAGAAGAAGCGCCGGCUAACUACGUG